Molecule: transfer-messenger RNA, 365 nt
Filed under: Pengzhenrongella sicca
Lineage: Bacteria; Bacillati; Actinomycetota; Actinomycetes; Micrococcales
Description: Standard tmRNA
Rfam family: transfer-messenger RNA
About the family: Bacterial tmRNA, also known as 10Sa RNA or SsrA, is named for its dual tRNA and mRNA-like properties. Its role is to liberate the mRNA from a stalled ribosome.
Source: Rfam by way of RNAcentral
GGGGGUGAUCGGUUUCGACGGUGAUCGUCGAUCCAGGAGAAGCGGGCCGAGGAUGCAGGGUUAUCUCGUCAACGCUCCCUGCAAAACCAAUAGGUGCCGACUCCAAUCGCACCGACUUCGCACUCGCCGCUUAGGCCAGUCUGAAGUCCGUUAGCCCGAGUUUGCUCUCGAUUCGGUAACUAGCGUCAUCUAGAGAGCUUGCUUGCAGCGUUCGUCGUCGGCGCUGCUGGGACUUUUAGGCGACUGGGCCUGUCAGCGGCAUGCUUGCUAGAUUGCUGGGGCCGAGAAAAGCGCAGCAAGCUGCGCCCGGAGAAGUCCUGGUUCACAGUCAUCGGACGCGGGUUCGAUUCCCGCCACCUCCACCC